RNAcentral lists this ribosomal RNA (442 nucleotides) under uncultured bacterium. RNAcentral's name for it is "partial 16S ribosomal RNA". It matches the Rfam family "Bacterial small subunit ribosomal RNA", at positions 338 to 795 of the family's 1533-position model. The record is from RNAcentral.
CCUACGGGAGGCAGUAGUAGGGAAUCUUUCACAAUGGGCGAAAGCCUGAUGGAGCAACGCCGCGUGCAGGAUGAAGGCCUUCGGGUUGUAAACUGCUUUUAUAAGCGAGAAAUAUGAUGGUAACUUAUGAAUAAGGAUCGGCUAACUACGUGCCAGCAGCCGCGGUCAUACGUAGGAUCCGAGCAUUAUCCGGAGUGACUGGGUGUAAAGAGUUGCGUAGGUGGCAUAAUAAGUAGCUAGUGAAAUCUGGUGGCUCAACCAUUCAGACUAUUAGCUAAACUGUUAAGCUCGAGACCGUUAGGGGUAACUGGAAUUUCUAGUGUAGGAGUGAAAUCCGUAGAUAUUAGAAGGAACACCAAUAGCGUAGGCAGGUUGCUGGGACGGUUCUGACACUAAGGCACGAAAGCGUAGGGAGCAAACGGGAUUAGAUACCCGUGUAGUC